Molecule: ribosomal RNA, 492 nt
Filed under: uncultured bacterium
Lineage: Bacteria
Description: bacterial SSU rRNA
Rfam family: Bacterial small subunit ribosomal RNA
Source: RNAcentral
UCAGGAUGAACGCUAGCGGCAGGCUUAAUACAUGCAAGUCGUGGGGCAGCAUGAGUAGCAAUACUUGAUGGACGACCGGACAAACGGGUGAGGAACACGUACACAACCUUCCUUCAAGCGGGGAAUAGCCCAGAGAAAUUUGGAUUAAUACCCCAUAAUAUAUUUGAUAAGGCAUCUUAUUAAUAUUAAAGCUUCGGCACUUGAUGAUGGGUGUGCGGCUGAUUAGAUAGUUGGCGGGGUAACGGCCCACCAAGUCUACGAUCAGUAGCUGAUGUGAGAGCAUGAUCAGCCACACGGGCACUGAGACACGGGCCCGACUCCUACGGGAGGCAGCAGUAAGGAAUAUUGGACAAUGGACGAAAGUCUGAUCCAGCCAUGCCGCGUGAAGGAUUAAGGUCCUCUGGAUUGUAAACUUCUUUUAUAUGGGACGAAAAAAGGGGCAUUCUUGUUCACUUGACGGUACCAUAUGAAUAAGCACCGGCUAACUCCGUG